This 426-nucleotide long non-coding RNA is filed under the name Melopsittacus undulatus (budgerigar). RNAcentral describes it as "lncRNA (ENSMUNG00000000370.2)". Lineage: Eukaryota; Metazoa; Chordata; Aves; Psittaciformes; Psittaculidae. The record is from RNAcentral.
GUGUGAGCUAAGACAGCCCAUUACAGUGUGGUUCUUUCCAAAGUCCAUGUUCCUCACUGAGGAACCAUGUCAUGACAAAGUAUUUUGAGGUAUUUGCAAUUGUAGAAUAAAUGGUGAAGCAAGAACCCCUUCCAAAGCAGGCCUUGAGUAUUUUGGACUUGAGUUGCAGCUGAAGUGGAAACUUUUGGAAACCUUGCCAUUAAUGUCAAUGGGAACGAGAGGUCACAAAGGAGCAUUUUUCCUGCUGAAACUUCAAGACAUUUGUUCCUGAGUUGCAGGAGAUUUGCUGGAUAAGGCCCUCUUAAAAUUACCCAGACCAUAUGGAUGGCAGGGCUCUGCAGGAUUCUGACAGACAAUAUGCUGUGGCUUCAGGUAUUUGCAGUAGGCAUGCAUUGCAGCUAGGAUGAAGUGAAUGUCACCUAAUAC